GAUGAACGCUGGCGGCGUGCCUAACACAUGCAAGUCGAGCGAUUCUCUUCGGCUAUGAUCGGCGGCCGGGUGAGUAACGCGUGGGUAACCUCCCCUGUACCCACCGAUAACCUACCGAAAGGUAUGCUAAUACUAGACCAUAUACUUUUAUCGCAUGGUAGCAGUAUCAAAGCUUUUGCGGUACAGGAUCGACCCGCGUCUGAUUAGCUAGUUGGUAAGUUAACGGCUUACCAAGGCGACGAUCAGUAGCCGACCUGAGAGGGUGAUCGGCCACAUUGGAACUGAGACACGGACCAAACUCCGACGGGAGGCAGCAGUGGGGAAUAUUGAACAAUGGGCGAAAGCGUGAUGCAGCAACGCCGGGUGAGAGAGGAAGGGCUUCGGGUAGUAAAGUUCUGUCCGCAAGGAAGAGAAUGACGGUACUUGAGGAGGAAGCCCCGGCUAACUACGUG
This 452-nucleotide ribosomal RNA is filed under the name uncultured bacterium. RNAcentral's name for it is "partial 16S ribosomal RNA". It matches the Rfam family "Bacterial small subunit ribosomal RNA", at positions 28 to 507 of the family's 1533-position model. The record is from RNAcentral.